GACGAACGCUGGCGGCGUGCUUAACACAUGCAAGUCGAACGGAAAGGCCCUGCUUUUGUGGGGUGCUCGAGUGGCGAACGGGUGAGUAACACGUGAGUAACCUGCCCUUGACUUUGGGAUAACUUCAGGAAACUGGGGCUAAUACCGGAUAGGAGCUCCUGCUGCAUGGUGGGGGUUGGAAAGUUUCGGCGGUUGGGGAUGGACUCGCGGCUUAUCAGCUUGUUGGUGGGGUAGUGGCUUACCAAGGCUUUGACGGGUAGCUGGCCUGAGAGGGUGACCGGCCACAUUGGAACUGAGAUACGGCCCAGACUCCUACGGGAGGCAGCAGUGGGGAAUAUUGCACAAUGGGCGGAAGCCUGAUGCAGCAACGCCGCGUGCGGGAUGACGGCCUUCGGGUUGUAAACCGCUUUCGCCUGUGACGAAGCGUGAGUGACGGUAAUAGGUAAAGAAGCACCGGCUAACUACGUG
RNAcentral lists this ribosomal RNA (468 nucleotides) under uncultured bacterium. RNAcentral describes it as "partial 16S ribosomal RNA". It matches the Rfam family "Bacterial small subunit ribosomal RNA", at positions 28 to 507 of the family's 1533-position model. The record is from RNAcentral.